GAACCGGAGGAGGCGGCGGAAGGCCCAAGAGGCGCAGCUUCAGACUUCUGCAGCGGGCACACCGAGGCUGGAAAAUUUGUUCAAAUGACGCAUACCUUGUCCGCAAUUGCAACGAAAGUUUCUCGCUGGUAAUACAUGGUUUUCAAGGUGAAGGGUUACAUGUAGAUGCCACAAACCUUGACCGCAAUUGCAACCGAAGAUUUUUGGAUGAACCGCAAGACGAUCAGAUGAAGGCUUUCAGUUGUCCAGGCCAGGCCAGGUGACCAAUGACGAUGAUAGAUCGGGUUCGAUUCAAGCUAUACGCUUGGUGUAUUCGGUUAUCGUGUCUGGCGACUGAGUCUAACUCACGUCCAAAGCACGGUGGCUGGGUCCCAGGCAUGCUUGCCACUUUGUUCUGCGGUCCUCAUCUAAGUUUCGACGGUGAUGACAUGGACUUAGGUUCAAAGUACGUGUUCCCCUUGAGUCAUUGUGAUUGAUUGAUGGGGGAAAUUAACGAUUGCGUGUCGCUAGUCAUUCACAAUAUCCCCUGUUGAAGAGUGUUGGCGGGAUAAGUCUUACGACUGUUAACAAUAGUAAGCAAUAGCUGGCCAGCGAUCCCCUACCUGAUCUCGAGGGGUAUAGAAUGACUGGGGUUAGAGGCCUGUUGUUAACCUGCGGAAUUUCGUCGGACGAAAUGUCAGGCGUGUCCGUGUGGGACUUGUGCUAAACCAGUUUAGUACUAAUGACGAAGACCUUGGGUCCUUUGAAUAACAACAGUGUUCUCAACCUCCUUGUGCCUCUCAAAGCUAACGUAUAUACCCGCUGAAAUCGACAAGACGGCGAUGAAGAAGGAGAGCCGGCCUCCAGCUCGAGAGCCGAGAAGACACUGGAUGGACCUGAAGAAUAUGUUGCUGCCAAUGUUGGAGCCAUACAGGGCAGCCCGAGCCAACAUUGUACAAGAGCCACAAGGUCCAGGGCCUCAAGGACAAGGGACACAAGGACAAGGGACACAAGGACAAGGGACACAAGAACAAGGGACACAAGAACAAGGGACACAAAAGACGAUGUUGCAAUCUGCGGGAUUGAGAUGAUGGCUGUCGAGAAGACCCAACCACUCAACCAAGAUCUACAAUUCGUCCUAUGGUAGAUGUGACUCUCAAAAGAUUUUGGAUGACGAAGGAAUCCAAUACAUAUAUGUCGCUCACAGAUACGGGCAGACAACCGAGAGUCGAGUGGGUUCAGUGGAUCGAAUGGUUGUGCAGAGGGAUAGCCAUGUGCAGGAGUGACGAACUACAGCUCAGCAAACGAUGCCUUGACAGAACAAUUCAACGAGAACCAUCGCUGAGAUCAGAAAGGGAACUUGUUUGCUGUGGGGAUGGAUUGGACACCGAAAUGUCUGUCAUUCUAAUAAACUAUAAUGACAAUCCAACUCCAAAGGGACUCUCUGGAUUUAGGGGAAGCUACGGACAUAGAGCCCUGACAUGAUAUCCUGCAGCCACCAUGAGGACAGCCUAUCUCAUACCUUCGGAAGGGUGCCAUCACACGCAUGGAGAAGCAUGCGACAGGAGGAAGAUGGAUGUUGCUGACCAGCACAUCCCAACGAUGUAUUUUUGUCACCGUAGACCUAUUGUUUUUAUUGAAAUAUCUGAUUGAAAGGUGAUUUUAUUGAUAAAAUUCCUAAAAUUUUCUGAUGGGAGAAGGCAUAUAUUUACCUUCUUAGGGCAAUGACAAUAUGUUGUCAUGGUUUAAAAUAAUGCACGUAUAAAGAAGGAAUAACAUUUUAGAGGAGGGUUUCUUUUGUUACCAGGGGCACCAUGAUCCAAGAGAUCAACAAUUUUCUUGCAAAAUCUUUUGAAAGAAAGCGAAAUGUGGAGUGGGCGUUUAUGGAAAGCCAAUAGGGCUUGUCAGUACCCAAACAAAUAAGUCUUAAGCAAAAUUGAUUUUUAGCUUAUGAAGGCAGAAGCUAAUAGCCUAGGGCACAUCAGGACCCUACUGCUUGAAAUGGUUUUCUCCUGAAAUAAUCACCAACUUGAUCAGAUAUUUCAUUAUUAUAUCUCCAUCACUUGAGACAUGGGGUUCAUAUGAUUUCUUUCUUGCUUAAACCCCAGGCAAAAAAGGAACAUAUGUGUCUGCGAUGGAACGUAGGCCUUUUUUUACUGUUUCUCGAUCUCCCCAGUACCAUAGAAUCCUCGGGCAUUGGUCAGAGCAGUUAAGCCGAGACCUUCUAACGUUGGCUGGCUCAGUUGCUUGGUAUCAUAUAAUACCAGAGACAACUGACCAACUACACAAAGAAGUUAAAGUUCCCUCAAUCACUUUUACCAAAUACCUGGGAACCAGGUAUUGAUGAAAAGACACAUUCAACUUAUAUAGUUGAAAACACU
Long non-coding RNA from Lineus longissimus, 2360 nucleotides. RefSeq lists it as uncharacterized. The record is from RefSeq and is a predicted model, not a curated record. The transcript is spliced from 8 exons. NCBI's taxonomy places the organism in Eukaryota, Metazoa, Nemertea, Pilidiophora, Heteronemertea, Lineidae.